CUUCUAAAAUUUAAGAACAAUAUACACUACUACAAAAACCGUGGUUUCACGACGCUUUGGCCUCGACGCAAGGGGAAGAGCGUUGAACUACAUGAUAGUCCGCGCGUCGUCUCGACGCCUAUCUGUGUCCUCUGAAAUUCUCGAUGAAUAUAAGCGUCGAGAGUUUAGAAAAUGGCCAUGUGAGGCUCACGUGUCAUACUUCACAUCCCCGGGUCCAAAUUGGGGGAAAACUUUCGGCAUUCAACCCUAAACACCGCUCUCUCUCUUCUCUCUCUCUCUCUUCCAGAUCUACAUGAAUAAGCAUUUCUCUGCCUUCAGAUCAACAUUAACAUACAUGUAGUCCUCGGUCGACAUUUCUAACUCAACUUUCAGUUGCUAUAUAGUAAGAGACGAGUUAUCGCAAGAGGGUUAGACCUACAACAAGUCUAGGGAAUGGCACACCAACGGUCCACUUUCAAAUGUCUGGGUGUGGCUGAAUGGUUGCAGACCAUGCAUCUGGUUGGCUACCCAGAUAUCUUCACAACCAGGAUUUUCUUGACAAGAGUUUGAGAUAUUCCCCGUUACAGUUUUAGCUUAAACAUCUUAGAGGCUUAAACGCUAGACAGUCGGCGAUAGGAAUUAUGCCAUCCGGCCUUCCUUGAGUAUUGCGACCCUUUGAGGGAAGAAAUAUAGAUGGCUUCUCUCUAACGGUUUCUUCAACAAACAGAAGGAUACUAGCAAGUACUGGGACUCGAGUUGGCGUGAAUGUGAGGUUCGUUGAGAAGGUUCACAAUCACAUUUUUUCAGUCCCUAUUUUGAUCACUCCUACUUUCGUGAAAUAAAAUAUUUUGUUCGGUUAAUCAAGCCAUAUAAUGUGAUGAGCAUUGUGUCAUCUCGUCUAUAUUAGCCACCCGUUGUGAUCAAACUGGGUGUGUUAAAAAUUGACAAUGCAAAUGAGCUAUCAAAUUUUUGUUCCAGAAGAGUAUUUAGCUUACAGCCAUGUCAGAAGGCUUUACUGUAUUAAGUGUGCUAAAUGUGCUGAAGGAUGUGUCUGGCAGCAGUUCUUUGAAAACAAGCACUUCAAUAUAAGUUGUUCAAUUCCUUUAAUGUAAACAAAUGGUAGAAGUGUGCAUAAUAUUACAAUGUUAAUGUACGGUAUAAAUAAUUAUUUUGUUGUAGUAUAUAUCAAUUUUGAACAAAUUCAUGUAAGACUCAUUUUUUCUUCUAUUUAUACAUUAGUAAUGAAUAGAUUUUCUUGUCGUUUA
Molecule: long non-coding RNA, 1244 nt
Organism: Spinacia oleracea (spinach)
Lineage: Eukaryota; Viridiplantae; Streptophyta; Magnoliopsida; Caryophyllales; Amaranthaceae
Exons: 5
Source: RefSeq, a predicted model, not a curated record